Molecule: long non-coding RNA, 218 nt
Filed under: Homo sapiens (human)
Lineage: Eukaryota; Metazoa; Chordata; Mammalia; Primates; Hominidae
Description: non-protein coding lnc-NR5A2-5:1
Source: RNAcentral
CAUUGCCCAAAAGGAGUUCCCUGGAACACCCAGAACACCAGUCCCCUGAGAUAGCCAUUGACACAUGGCCGAGGUCUGAUAAUUGCCAUCCAUAGUUUGUCCCUCUUGGAGGGUCACAGAAGUUCACACAGUUAAGAUCCUGCUUACCCUUGUUUAACUCUACAUCCCCAUACUUAUUUGACCCCUCCUUUUUUCUAGUAACAUGAUUAACAUUCCAC